GAUGAACGCUGGCGGCGUGCCUAAUACAUGCAAGUCGAGCGAACAGAUAAGGAGCUUGCUCCUUUGACGUUAGCGGCGGACGGGUGAGUAACACGUGGGUAACCUACCUAUAAGACUGGAAUAACUCCGGGAAACCGGGGCUAAUGCCGGAUAACAUUUAGAACCGCAUGGUUCUAAAGUGAAAGAUGGUUUUACUAUCACUUAUAGAUGGACCCGCGCCGUAUUAGCUAGUUGGUAAGGUAACGGCUUACCAAGGCAACGAUACGUAGCCGAACUGAGAGGGUGAUCGGCCACACUGGAACUGAGACACGGUCCAGACUCCUACGGGAGGCAGCAGUAGGGAAUCUUCCGCAAUGGGCGAAAGCCUGACGGAGCAACGCCGCGUGAGUGAUGAAGGUCUUCGGAUCGUAAAACUCUGUUAUUAGGGAAGAACAAAUGUGUAAGUAACUGUGCACGUCUUGACGGUACCUAAUCAGAAAGCCACGGCUAACUACGUG
Molecule: ribosomal RNA, 497 nt
Filed under: uncultured bacterium
Lineage: Bacteria
Description: partial 16S ribosomal RNA
Rfam family: Bacterial small subunit ribosomal RNA
Source: RNAcentral